This 1159-nucleotide ribosomal RNA is filed under the name uncultured organism. RNAcentral's name for it is "bacterial SSU rRNA". It matches the Rfam family "Bacterial small subunit ribosomal RNA", at positions 273 to 1436 of the family's 1533-position model. The record is from RNAcentral.
GCGACGAUGUCUAGGGGGUCUGAGAGGAUGAUCCCCCACACUGGUACUGAGACACGGACCAGACUCCUACGGGAGGCAGCAGUGAGGAAUAUUGCGCAAUGGAGGAAACUCUGACGCAGCCAUCCCGCGUGCAGGAUUGACGGCCCUAUGGGUUGUAAACUGCUUUUCUAUACCAAGAAACACCGAUACGUGUAUCGGUUUGCCGGUAGUAUAGGAAUAAGCAUCGGCUAACUCCGUGCCAGCAGCCGCGGUAAUACGGAGGAUGCAAGCGUUAUCCGGAAUCACUGGGUUUAAAGGGUGCGCAGGCGGAAUAGUAAGUCAGAGGUGAAAGCCCACAGCUCAACUGUGGAAUUGCCUUUGAUACUGUUAUUCUUGAGUGUAGUUGAAGUAGGCGGAAUAUAGCAUGUAGCGGUGAAAUGCAUAGAUAUGCUAUAGAACACCAAUUGCGAAGGCAGCUUGCUAAACUAUAACUGACGCUGAGGCACGAAAGCGUGGGGAGCGAACAGGAUUAGAUACCCUGGUAGUCCACGCCGUAAACUAUGAACACUCGCUGUUGGCAAUACACAGUCAGCGGCUGAGCGAAAGCGUUAAGUGUUCCACCUGGGAAGUACGAUCACAAGGUUGAAACUCAAAGGAAUUGACGGGGGCCCGCACAAGCGGAGGAGCAUGUGGUUUAAUUCGAUGAUACGCGAGGAACCUUACCUGGGCUUAAAUGUAUAUUGACGUACUGAGAAAUCAGUAUUUCUUCGGACAAUUUACAAGGUGCUGCAUGGUUGUCGUCAGCUCGUGCCGUGAGGUGUCGGGUUAAGUCCCAUAACGAGCGCAACCCCUACUUCUAGUUACCAGCAUUUCGGAUGGGGACUCUAGAGGAACUGCCUACGCAAGUAGAGAGGAAGGUGGGGAUGACGUCAAAUCAGCACGGCCCUUAUGUCCAGGGCUACACACGUGCUACAAUGGCCGGUACAGAGGGCAGCUACAUAGCAAUAUGAUGCUAAUCUCAAAAGCCGGUCUCAGUCCGGAUUGGAGUCUGCAACUCGACUCCAUGAAGCUGGAUUCGCUAGUAAUCGCACAUCAGCAAUGGUGCGGUGAUACGUUCCCGGGCAUUGUACACACCGCCCGUCAAGCCAUGGAAGUUGGGGGUACCUGAAGUCGAUUGCCG